CCUACGGGUGGCUGCAGUAGGGAAUCUUCCACAAUGGGCGAAAGCCUGAUGGAGCAACGCCGCGUGAGUGAAGAAGGUCUUCGGAUCGUAAAACUCUGUAGUCAGAGAAGAAAGUGCGCGAGAGUAACUGUUCACGCUUCGACGGUAUCUAACCAGACAGCCACGGCUAACUACGUGCCAGCAGCCGCGGUAAUACGUAGGGGGCAAGCGUUAUCCGGAUUUAUUGGGGGUAAAGGGAACGCAGGCGGUCUUUUAAGUCCGAUGUGAAAGCCUUCGGCUUAACCGGAGUAGUGCAUUGGAAACUGGGUGUCUUGAGUGCUGAAGAGGCGAGUGGAACUCCAUGUGUAGCGGUGAAAUGCGUAGAUAUAUGGAGGAACACCAGUGGCGAAGGCGGCUCUCUGGUCAGUAACUGACGCUGAGGUUCGAAAGCGUGGGUAGCAAACAGGAUUAGAUACCCGGGUAGUC
This 465-nucleotide ribosomal RNA is filed under the name uncultured bacterium. Its description in RNAcentral is "partial 16S ribosomal RNA". It matches the Rfam family "Bacterial small subunit ribosomal RNA", at positions 338 to 795 of the family's 1533-position model. The record is from RNAcentral.